GUAUGGGAAUUGCUGAAUGCUCCUUGAAAAAGCUUAAUAGCUUGAGCCUCUAAAGUUAAAGAGAGUCCCUUAUGCAGUUGCGUAAUGAUGAGAAACGAUUAAUCUGAAAUUGGCAAGAGGUAGCCACGGCUUUAACAGCUUAAACACAUUGGCACAUUUGUGUCUUUAUAAUGACAAAUACCUGAAUGGAGUUGCCUGUCGGUUCAAAAAUCAAAUGGGAUUAUGGGAAUUGCAAAAGGCCCUUAAAAGCUUAUCACAUAAAGCAGAAUGUGUGAGCUCUAUCAUUGUCCGUUGUUCUGACUGCGGAAAA
Molecule: long non-coding RNA, 310 nt
Filed under: Capsella grandiflora
Lineage: Eukaryota; Viridiplantae; Streptophyta; Magnoliopsida; Brassicales; Brassicaceae
Description: long non-coding RNA (CGRA_LNC000060)
Source: RNAcentral